ACAGCAGCAGCCGCGGUAAUACGAAGGGUGCGAGCGUUACUCGGAAUUACUGGGCGUAAAGCGUGCGUAGGUGGUGGUUUAAGUCCGUUGUGAAAGCCCUGGGCUCAACCUGGGAAUUGCAGUGGAUACUGGGUCACUAGAGUGAGGUAGAGGAUAGUGGAAUUUCCGGUGUAGCAGUGAAAUGCGUAGAGAUCGGAAGGAACAUCUGUGGCGAAGGCGACUAUCUGGGCCAACACUGACACUGAGGCACGAAAGCGUGGGGAGCAAACAGGAUUAGAGACCCGCGUAGUCCCUGUCUCUUAUAC
RNAcentral lists this ribosomal RNA (305 nucleotides) under uncultured bacterium. RNAcentral describes it as "partial 16S ribosomal RNA". It matches the Rfam family "Bacterial small subunit ribosomal RNA", at positions 505 to 807 of the family's 1533-position model. The record is from RNAcentral.